This 24-nucleotide non-coding RNA is filed under the name Mus musculus (house mouse). Lineage: Eukaryota; Metazoa; Chordata; Mammalia; Rodentia; Muridae. The record is from RNAcentral.
UGACAGACCUGUGUGGCAGGUGUU